RNAcentral lists this ribosomal RNA (478 nucleotides) under uncultured bacterium. Its description in RNAcentral is "partial 16S ribosomal RNA". It matches the Rfam family "Bacterial small subunit ribosomal RNA", at positions 28 to 507 of the family's 1533-position model. The record is from RNAcentral.
GAUGAACGCUGGCGGCGUGCUUAACACAUGCAAGUCGAACGAGAAGUGAAGACGGAAACCUUCUGGCGGAGGGCUUUAUUUCGAGUGGCGGACGGGUUAGUAACGCGUGGGUAACCUGCCUCAUACAGGGGGAUAACAGUUGGAAACGACUGUUAAUACUGCAGAAGACCACGGCACCGCAUGGUUCGGGGGUAAACACUCCGGUGGGAUGAGAUGGACCCGCGUUAGGUUAGCCGGGUGGCGGGGUAACGGCCAACCAAAGCGACGGUCGAGAGCCGAGAGGAGAGGAGGCCAGGCCACAUCGGGAAUGAGACCCGGACUAAAAUCCUACGGGAGGGAGCAGUGGGGAAUAUUGCACAAUGGGGGCAAAUCUGAUGAAGCGACGCCGCGUGAGUGAAGAAGUAUGUCGGUAUGUAAAGCUGUAUGAGAAGGGACGAAAAUGACGGUAACGGGGUAAGAAGCACCGGCUAACUACGUG